Molecule: ribosomal RNA, 106 nt
Filed under: Klebsiella pneumoniae
Lineage: Bacteria; Pseudomonadati; Pseudomonadota; Gammaproteobacteria; Enterobacterales; Enterobacteriaceae
Description: partial 16S ribosomal RNA
Rfam family: Bacterial small subunit ribosomal RNA
Source: RNAcentral
AAAUUGAAGAGUUUGAUCAUGGCUCAGAUUGAACGCUGGCGGCAGGCCUAACACAUGCAAGUCGAGCGGUAGCACAGAGAGCUUGCUCUCAGGUGACGAGCGGCGG